CAACUCUCAACAACGGAUAUCUUGGCUCCCGUAACGAUGAAGAACGCAGCGAAAUGCGAUACGUAGUGUGAAUUGCAGAAUUCCGUGAACCAUCGAAUCUUUGAACGCAAAUUGCGCUCGAGGCUUCGGCCAAGAGCAUGUCUGC
Molecule: ribosomal RNA, 145 nt
Filed under: uncultured Trebouxia photobiont
Lineage: Eukaryota; Viridiplantae; Chlorophyta; Trebouxiophyceae; Trebouxiales; Trebouxiaceae
Description: 5.8S ribosomal RNA
Rfam family: 5.8S ribosomal RNA
About the family: 5.8S ribosomal RNA (5.8S rRNA) is a component of the large subunit of the eukaryotic ribosome. It is transcribed by RNA polymerase I as part of the 45S precursor that also contains 18S and 28S rRNA.
Source: RNAcentral